Nemania sp. FL0031 is the source of this 105-nucleotide non-coding RNA. The record is from the annotation of a GenBank genome assembly. NCBI's taxonomy places the organism in Eukaryota, Fungi, Ascomycota, Sordariomycetes, Xylariales, Xylariaceae.
UCUGGUGUGACGCAGUGGUAGCGUGUUGCUCUUAUACAUUCUUCUGCAAUGAAGACCGUAUGAUAAGAAAUGCAAAAGCCGUGAGUUCGAUCCUCACCUCCAGAA